Molecule: non-coding RNA, 185 nt
Organism: Tinamus guttatus (white-throated tinamou)
Lineage: Eukaryota; Metazoa; Chordata; Aves; Tinamiformes; Tinamidae
Source: RefSeq, a predicted model, not a curated record
AAAAUAACAAUGCACAUCAUCUUCCCGGAGAAGAGACAGACAAAUAUUGCAGCCGAGAGGCACAGCAGGCAGCUUCCGUACAAAGUAGUUUGGCUAUUUAAAAUGCUAGAACCAGCCCUUGUCCGUGUCUCCAAACCCCAACCCCCGUCCCCAAAAGUCCUAUGAUAAUUUAAACACUUUUUUCC